GACGAACGCUGGCGGCGCGCUUAACACAUGCAAGUCGAACGGAAAGGCCUGCUUUCCCUUGUGGAUUGCGGGUACUCGAGUGGCGAACGGGUGAGUAACACGUGAGUGAUCUGCCCCCAACUUGGGUAUAAGCCUGGGAAACUGGGUCUAAUUCCCGAUAGGACUGCAGGGUGGUGCCUGUGGUGGAAAACGAUUUUCUAGUGGUUGGGGAUGAGCUCGCGGCCUAUCAGCUUGUUGGUGGGGUAAUGGCCUACCAAGGCGGCGACGGGUAGCCGGCCUGAGAGGGUGGACGGCAACAUUGGGACUGAGAUACGGCCCAGACUGCUACGGGAGGCAGCAGUGGGGAAUAAUGCACAAUGGGCGGAAGCCUGAUGCAGCGACGCCGCGUGGGGGAUGACGGCCUUCGGGUUGUAAACUCCUUUCGACCGCGAGGAAGCCACCUGGUUGGAAGGGUGGUGACGGUAGUGGUAGAAGAAGCACCGGCUAACUACGUG
RNAcentral lists this ribosomal RNA (494 nucleotides) under uncultured bacterium. RNAcentral's name for it is "partial 16S ribosomal RNA". It matches the Rfam family "Bacterial small subunit ribosomal RNA", at positions 28 to 507 of the family's 1533-position model. The record is from RNAcentral.